Molecule: ribosomal RNA, 258 nt
Filed under: uncultured bacterium
Lineage: Bacteria
Description: partial 16S ribosomal RNA
Rfam family: Bacterial small subunit ribosomal RNA
Source: RNAcentral
UACGUAGGCAGCAAGCGUUGUUCGGAAUUACUGGGCGUAAAGAGUGUGUAGGCGGUGCUCUAAGUUCGGUGUGAAAUCUCCCGGCUCAACUGGGAGGGUGCGCCGGAAACUGGAGUGCUGGAGCGCGGGGAGAGGAAAGCGGAAUUCCUGGUGUAGCGGUGAAAUGCGUAGAUAUCAGGAGGAACACCGGCGGUGUAGACGGCUUUCUGGACCGUAGCUGACGCUGAGACACGAAAAGCGUGGGGUAGCAAAACAGGG